This 371-nucleotide ribosomal RNA is filed under the name uncultured bacterium. Its description in RNAcentral is "bacterial SSU rRNA". It matches the Rfam family "Bacterial small subunit ribosomal RNA", at positions 525 to 896 of the family's 1533-position model. The record is from RNAcentral.
ACGAACCGUGCAAACGUUAUUCGGAAUCACUGGGCUUAAAGGGCGCGUAGGCGGGUGAUCAAGUCAAUGGUGAAAUCCUCCAGCUUAACUGGAGAAGUGCCUUUGAUACUGAUUGUCUAGAGGGAGGUAGGGGCAUGUGGAACUUCAGGUGGAGCGGUGAAAUGCGUAGAUAUCUGAAGGAACGCCAGUGGCGAAAGCGAUGUGCUGGACCUCUUCUGACGCUGAGGCGCGAAAGCUAGGGGAUCAAACGGGAUUAGAUACCCCGGUAGUCCUAGCCCUAAACUAUGGGUACUAGAUUGUGGACUUUCAUGGGUUCACAGUCGAAGCAAAAGUGUUAAGUACCCCGCCUGGGGAGUAUGGUCGCAAGGCUG